GACGAACGCUGGCGGCGUGCUUAACACAUGCAAGUCGAACGGAAAGGCCCUGCUUUUGUGGGGUGCUCGAGUGGCGAACGGGUGAGUAACACGUGAGUAACCUGCCCUUGACUUUGGGAUAACUUCAGGAAACUGGGGCUAAUACCGGAUAGGAGCUCCUGCUGCAUGGUGGGGGUUGGAAAGUUUCGGCGGUUGGGGAUGGACUCGCGGCUUAUCAGCUUGUUGGUGGGGUAGUGGCUUACCAAGGCUUUGACGGGUAGCCGGCCUGGGAGGGUGACCGGCCACAUUGGGACUGAGAUACGGCCCAGACUGCUACGGGAGGCAGCAGUGGGGAAUAUUGCACAAUGGGCGGACGCCUGAUGCAGCGACGCCGCGUGCGGGAUGACGGCCUUCGGGUUGUAAACCGCUUUCGCCUGUGACGAAGCGUGAGUGACGGUAAUGUGUAAAGAAGCACCGGCUAACUACGUG
RNAcentral lists this ribosomal RNA (468 nucleotides) under uncultured bacterium. RNAcentral describes it as "partial 16S ribosomal RNA". It matches the Rfam family "Bacterial small subunit ribosomal RNA", at positions 28 to 507 of the family's 1533-position model. The record is from RNAcentral.